Molecule: unclassified non-coding RNA, 2467 nt
Filed under: Leguminivora glycinivorella
Lineage: Eukaryota; Metazoa; Arthropoda; Insecta; Lepidoptera; Tortricidae
Description: h(+)/Cl(-) exchange transporter 3, transcript variant X6
Source: RNAcentral
UAUUUUGGCAUCACAGAGCUAAUUCUUCGAGUGUGGAAAAAAUAGGAAAUUAUUUGUUUAAACCUGGGAUAUUAGGAUAAUUCAAUUAAAAUACAAAUGAAUGAAUAAUUGAGGGAAAUAUUUAUGCCUUUGCUGGCUUUGAAAUGAUGCAACAGCAAUAGGCGUGUAAGAGAGACAGUCAUGGAAAAAUUUCCUUUGAAGUCUACAACACCGAAAAUGAGCACAACAUAUCAGUCUGUCUACAAAAAGGGGUCGGGCGGCAGGAAUGGGGCCGGGCUGGGCGCGAGCGGCGCCGACGAGCUGGUAGAGAUCGCGGCGACGCGGCCGUCCCCCGGCGACAGCGCGCCCACCAGCCACGGCACGUUUCAACUGUACGAGCACGGCGGCCGCACCAACCACCCGGACAAUACGCCCAACUCUUGCAUUGCUCAAUAUUUUGGCGAAUCCACCGGGGACGCAGUUAUAUUUUCUGGAAUGCAGGUAGGCGAUGAUGACAUCCCUGGCAUCGGUCAGUAUGACGACUUCCACACCAUUGACUGGCAACGCGACAUCGCACGGGACCGCAUGCGCCACAGAUACAUAGUCAAGAAAAGACAAGACUCAAUAUGGGAUUUAAUAAAGGGUGCACACGACGCGUGGUCGGGCUGGGUGUGCGUGCUGCUGGUGGGCGUGUGCACGGGUGUGGUGGCCGGCGUCAUCGACAUCGGCGCCUCCUGGAUGACGGACCUCAAGUUCGGCAUCUGCCCGCAGGCCUUCUGGUUCAACCAGGAACAAUGCUGCUGGUCGGACAAUGAAACAACGUUUGAUCAUGGGAAUUGUUCACAGUGGGUGACAUGGCCCGAGUUACUAGGAGGCUCUCGCGAAGGCCCGGGCGCCUACAUCAUCAGUUACCUGUUCUACAUAGUGUGGUGCCUGAUAUUCGCGGCGCUCUCAGCUUCUCUUGUCCGCAUGUUCGCGCCUUACGCCUGUGGUUCUGGUAUUCCUGAAAUUAAGACGAUCCUCAGUGGUUUCAUCAUCAGAGGUUACCUCGGCAAGUGGACGCUCAUCAUUAAGGUCGUGGGCCUAAUAUUGUCCGUGUCUUCCGGACUGAGUCUCGGCAAGGAAGGGCCCAUGGUACACAUCGCGAGUUGCUUGGGUAACAUAUUGUCAUAUUUAUUCCCUAAAUAUGGCCGUAACGAGGCUAAGAAACGUGAGAUUCUAUCCGCCGCCGCUGCAGCCGGCGUGUCUGUCGCCUUUGGAGCGCCCAUUGGGGGAGUGCUCUUCAGUUUAGAAGAGGUGUCAUAUUAUUUCCCCCUGAAAACACUGUGGCGCUCGUUCUUCUGCGCGCUGAUAGCAGCUUUCAUCUUGCGCUCCAUCAAUCCCUUCGGCAACGAACAUUCGGUCCUCUUCUUCGUGGAGUACAAUAAGCCCUGGAUAUUCUUCGAGCUCAUACCAUUCGUUGGACUGGGGAUUAUAGGAGGGUGCAUCGCGACGAUAUUCAUAAAGGCGAACCUGUACUGGUGCCGCUACCGCAAGUACUCGAAGCUGGGCCAGUACCCGGUGACGGAGGUGCUGGUGGUGACGCUGGUGACGGCCGUCAUCGCGUACCCCAACCGCUACACGCGCAUGAACACCAGCCAGCUCAUCUACCUGCUCUUCAACCAGUGCGGCAUCUCCAACUCCGACCCCCUGUGCGACUACAACCGCAACUUCACGGAUGUGAACAAAGCCAUCGAGAAGGCGGCGGCGGGGCCGGGCGUGUACCAGGCCAUCUGGCUGCUGUUCCUGGCGCUGGUGGUGAAGCUGGUCAUGACGGUGUUCACCUUCGGCAUCAAGGUGCCCUGCGGCCUCUUCAUCCCCAGCCUCGCGCUCGGCGCCAUCGCCGGACGUAUCGUCGGAAUCGGUGUGGAGUACCUGGCGUACAAGUACUCGAAGAUCUGGCUUUUCUCGGGCGAGUGCUCGACGGGCGACGACUGCAUAACGCCCGGCCUGUACGCCAUGGUGGGCGCGGCCGCCGUGCUCGGCGGGGUCACCAGGAUGACAGUGUCGCUGGUGGUGAUAAUGUUCGAGCUGACGGGCGGCGUGCGGUACAUCGUGCCGCUGAUGGCGGCCGCGAUGGCGUCCAAGUGGGUGGGCGACGCGCUCGGCAAGCAGGGCAUCUACGACGCGCACAUCGCGCUCAACGGCUACCCUUUCCUCGACAGCAAGGACGAGUUCCAGCACACCUCGCUCGCCGCCGACGUCAUGCAGCCCAAGUAACACCACACACACACAUCAUUAAGGAUCUCCCCAAACCCAUCGACGUGGAAUUGACUUUCGACGACCAAGAAUCGCUCAUUAGUAUGAAUAUGCGUAUAAUAAAAGAAGUAACUGACUGACUGACAUAUCAACGCUCAGCUGAAACCGCUGGUCCUAGAGAUUCCAAAUUUGGCACGUAGGUUCCUUAUAAGGUGUAGAGAAGCACUAAGACAGGAUUUUUCAAAAUUCA